CAAGCAAAUAAAUAAAUGGAUUGACGCUUAUGAUGGCGCUAAGCGUAUGCAACGAAGCGGUUGGUCGGAGAAUGAUAUUUUGACCCAAGCGCAAGAAUUAUACGCAUAUGGGAAGAAGGGUCAAUUUAAUUUAAUGGCAGAAUGAAAGGCUCUCUGUGAUCAACCACGUUACUGUAGUUAAGCAGGAGGAAAUGUUGGCUCAGGAAGUAGUGGAUCUAAGAGAUCUCGCGAGAGUGAUGCAUGUGGCUCAAACUCUAUAGGAUCGAUUCCCCGUCCAAUGGGUAGGAAGGCAGUUAAAAAAAGGGUAAAAAUAAGAGCACAACAGCUACCUUGGAGGCGAUGGAGAAAGAUUGGGCUGAAUACAAACAAGUCAAGGAGAUAGAGGUUGAACAAUUGAAGCAGAUAGCAUCGAUGCAACAAGAGGCUAAUAAAUUGAGGAAAGAGGAGACUGAAGCUAAGAAAAUUGAAUCAUUUCUAAAGUUAAGUGAAGAGGAGCAUCUCAGUGACCACAAGAAAGAGCUGUUGAAGCGGUUGUCCCAAGAGCUCUUUGGAAAUUAAUUGUCUGUAGUGUUUGCUUUAAUAAUUUGUCAGUGUUGUCAAGUCUGUAGUGUUUGCUUUAAUAAUUUGUCAGUGUUUUUUCAAGUCUGUACUGUUUACUUUAAUAAUUUGUCGGUGGCUUUAAUGUAUGGGUUACCGAGUUUGAAUAUGUAUCACUCAAUUCGAAUCUAGUCCUUAUCCGAUAAUUAACUAUAGUUCAUAUUAUUUCGAAUCCGUCAGUGUCCACCAUUUAAUUUAUCUAUAUAUAUGGACUCAUAGAUCCAUCAUUCAAUGUAUCUCUUCCCAUCUAUUUCAAAUUUCACAAAAAAUGGAUCCACCAGAGUUUGAUCUCGAAGCAUACCUUGAAAAAAGUGAGAGAGAAGACACUUAUAUACUCAACCGCUUUAGGGAUCGUCGAAAUCUAAUAUUGGAGGAUAGUGCACCUCGUGGUAGAAAACAUCUCAGUAGAGAUCAUGCAGGGGCAAACCAAAGGCUAAUUGACGACUACUUCCUCAAUGAGCCUACAUACGACGAUGGAAUAUUCCGUCGCCGGUACCGGAUGCAAAAACAUGUUUUCCUUCGAAUCGUUGCGGACCUUUCAAGUAGUGAUAACUACUUCACCCAGCGAGUUGAUGCAGCGAAGAAAGAAGGUAUAUCGCCCUUAGCAAAAUGCACCACAACAAUGCGAAUGUUAGCAAAUGGUGUGGCAGCAGAUGCAGUCGAUGAGUACAUCAAAAUAGGAGAGACUACAACAUUGGAGUGUUUACGUAGAUUCUGUAAAGGAAUCAUACGAUUGUAUGAGCAAGAGUACCUGAGAGCACCAACCCAAGAGGACC
Molecule: long non-coding RNA, 1373 nt
Filed under: Lotus japonicus
Lineage: Eukaryota; Viridiplantae; Streptophyta; Magnoliopsida; Fabales; Fabaceae
Description: long non-coding RNA (LJAP_LNC001072)
Source: RNAcentral